RNAcentral lists this long non-coding RNA (247 nucleotides) under Phoenix dactylifera (date palm). RNAcentral's name for it is "long non-coding RNA (PDAC_LNC014431)". Lineage: Eukaryota; Viridiplantae; Streptophyta; Magnoliopsida; Arecales; Arecaceae. The record is from RNAcentral.
AAUGGGGAAUAAUUCUCAAAGAUACAUGGAAGAAAACAAACAACUAGGGGAGAAUAAUGCCGUAGCCAUAAGAGAAGUUAAUUAAGUCGACGGCCUCAAGCUGGUCGCUUGUUACUUUGAAGCUUGUCGAGCUGGCUCGAUAUUUGGCCAAUUUGGCUAAACUCUUUGAGGUAUGCAGUUGGAUGCUUGGAUGGAUGUCUUAUAAAUAUUAUAUGGGUUUUGAUUUGAUUCUGUACAAUAUAUAUUU